Molecule: non-coding RNA, 76 nt
Organism: Sciurus carolinensis (gray squirrel)
Lineage: Eukaryota; Metazoa; Chordata; Mammalia; Rodentia; Sciuridae
Source: the annotation of a RefSeq genome assembly
UGGGGAGAUAGCUCAGUUGGUAGAGUGUUUGCCUCAUAAGCACAAAGCCCUGGGUUCGAUCCCCAGCACUGCAAAA